CAAGUCGAACGCAGUAGCAAUACUGAGUGGCAGACGGGUGAGUAUAAUGUGGGAAUCUGCCUUUUGGUUUGGAAUAACUCGGGGAAACCUGAGCUAAUACUGGAUAAGCCCUUACGGGGAAAGCUUUAUGCGCCAAAAGAUGAGCCCGCACUUGAUUAGCUUGUUGGUGAGGUAAAAGCUCACCAAGGCAACGAUCAAUAGCUGUUCUUAGAGGAAGACCAGCCACAUUGGGACUGAGACACGGCCCAGACUCCUACGGGAGGCAGCAGUAAGGAAUCUUGCACAAUGGGGGAAACCCUGAUGCAGCGAUGCCGCGCGAGUGAAGAAGGCCUUUGGGUUGUAAAACUCUUUCGUCGGGGAAGAAAAUGACUGUACCCGAAUAAGAAGGUCCGGCUAACUUCGUGCCAGCAGCCGCGGUAAUACGAAGGGACCUAGCGUAGUUCGGAAUUACUGGGCUUAAAGAGCUCGUAGGUGGUUAAAAAAGUUGGUGGUGAAAUCCCAAGGCUCAACCUUGGAACUGCCAUCAAAACUUUUUAGCUUGAGUGUGAUAGAGGAAGGUGGAAUUUCUAGUGUAGAGGUGAAAUUCGUAGAUAUUUAGAAAGAACACCAAAUGCGAAGGCAACUUUCUGGAUCAUUACUGACACUGAGGAGCGAAAGCAUGGGUAGCGAAGAGGAUUAGA
RNAcentral lists this ribosomal RNA (680 nucleotides) under uncultured bacterium. RNAcentral describes it as "bacterial SSU rRNA". It matches the Rfam family "Bacterial small subunit ribosomal RNA", at positions 58 to 782 of the family's 1533-position model. The record is from RNAcentral.